Molecule: ribosomal RNA, 458 nt
Filed under: uncultured bacterium
Lineage: Bacteria
Description: partial 16S ribosomal RNA
Rfam family: Bacterial small subunit ribosomal RNA
Source: RNAcentral
CCUACGGGAGGCAGCAGUGGGGAAUAUUGCACAAUGGGGGAAACCCUGAUGCAGCGACGCCGCGUGAGUGAAGAAGUAUUUCGGUAUGUAAAGCUCUAUCAGCAGGGAAGAAAUAGCGACCUUUGGGUCGCCAGACGGUACCUGAUUAAGAAGCUCCGGCUAACUACGCGCCAGCAGCCGCGGUAAUACGUAGGGGGCAAGCGUUAGCCGGAUUUACUGGGUGUAAAGGGAGCGUAGACGGCAGCGCAAGUCUGAAGUGAAAUGCCGGGGCUUAACCCCGGAACUGCUUUGGAAACUGUGUAGCUAGAGUGCAGGAGAGGUAAGUGGAAUUCCUGGUGUAGCAGUGAAAUGCGUAGAUAUUGGGAGGAACACCAGUGGCGAAGGCGGCUUACUGGACUGUAACUGACGUUGAGGCUCGAAAGCGUGGGGAGCGAACGGGAUUAGAUACCCCGGUAGUC